Molecule: long non-coding RNA, 2473 nt
Organism: Cyprinus carpio carpio
Lineage: Eukaryota; Metazoa; Chordata; Actinopteri; Cypriniformes; Cyprinidae
Source: Ensembl
AUGCAAAAACUGUAAUCCCCUAAGUACCAUUACGUUUUUUUUCUUAUUUUUAAUAGUAUUGACAACAUAUUUCUCAAGUUAUCACACAUAAAGUGAAGAAAAGAAACUAUAUUACUAACCUAUUUUCAUAUCUAUUUUCACCUUGACUUAAACCACAUUGUUUCUUUUACCUUCUGUGUUGUUGCCUACAACACUUCAGUUAGAGGACUGGGAAAUAGCAAACAGGGGAAAAAGGCAUGACUUAUUUUGCAUACAGCUAGCCAAACCUGUUUAAACUGUUGUCAUAGCCAAGGCUUUUUAUUGGAACAGAAAACAGCAAGGGUCCAUAGAAAAAUACUGUUGGAAGUUUUUUUUUUUUCCACCAAGGCAGCUCAAGGAGGUUGGACACACAAGUACAGUGGCUCUUUUGGGCCAAGCCAACAUCAAAGUUAGUUCACUAACUUUACAUUCUAGUUAUGUUGGCUUGGCAACAAGCCAACAUACUGUUAUGCUAUUUAAACUUAUUUUUAUUUUUAUUUUUAUUUUUAUUAUUCUUCUGAGACAGAAUUCCAAACGUAUCUCCUCCUAGGGCUUUUAAGCUACAAGCCCCAAACUCGGCAGACACCUGCGGGAUAUAGCGGUGCUGGUUGCUAUAUCUUUUUAGACUGAUCAGACUUACAGUUUAUUUAUUAUUAAUUUUUAAAAGUCAGAAAUCUCCCAUAGACUCCCAUUAUCUGAGAAAAAUUGCGCCUCUACAGGAGCAAUUCCCGGGACUGAGGGAGGAGUCUGCCUUAGUUUCACUUUUAAGUCGGUUAAAAAUACAUAUAAAUACAUGAAUUUAUUUCACUCUGACAAGCUAAACCAACAUAUUUGAAUAUUAUAGGGGUCAGGGCUUAUUAAAAAUUUAUAUCUGGCCACAGAACAGAGAGAAAGACGAGAGAGAAUUCACCGCUCCGUUCAGCGAGUGGUCUCACAGCGGGCUCACAACAAACGAAUUUAUUCUUGUUUAAGACCUUUUAAAAAUAAAAUAUUACAGCGAUUGCACACAAUCCACCCAUUAGAACAAACCAAGAGCUAAAAGAGGGUGUUUUUGAGCUGUUGACGUUUGAAAAUGAACGAUUUGCGUCAGCUCUUUUGACAGCGCGAGACGGCACGGCUUCUCGUGCAGUGACACAACGAGCUCGCAAGAAACGAAUUUAUUCUUGUUUAAGACCUUUUAAAAAUAAAAUAUUACAGCGAUUGCACACAAUCCACCCAUUAGAACAAACCAAGAGCUAAAAGUGGGUGUUUUUCAGCUGUUGAAGUUUGAAAAUGAAGGAUUUGCGUCAGCUCUUUUGACAGCGCGAGACGGCGCGGCUUCUCCUGCUCUCGCACUACGAGCUCACAAGAAACGAAUUUAUUCUUGUUUAAGACCUUAUAAAAAUAAAAUAUUACAGCGAUUGCACACAAUCCACCCAUUAGAACAAACCAAGAGCUAAAAGUGGGUGUUUUUCAGCUGUUGAAGUUUGAAAAUGAACGAUUUGCGUCAGCUCUUUUGACAGCGCGAGACGGCGCGGCUUCUCGUGCAAUGACACAACGAGCUCACAAGAAACGAAUUUAUUCUUGUUUAAGACCUUAUAAAAAUAAAAUAUUACAGCGAUUGCACACAAUCCACCCAUUAGAACAAACCAAGAGCUAAAAGUGGGUGUUUUUCAGCUGUUGAAGUUUGAAAAUGAACGAUUUGCGUAAGCUCUUUUGACAGCGCGAGACGGCGCGGCUUCUCCUGCACUCGCACUACGAGCUCACAAGAAACGAAUUUAUUCUUGUUUAAGACCUUAUAAAAAUAAAAUAUUACAGCGAUUGCACACAAUCCACCCAUUAGAACAAACCAAGAGCUAAAAGUGGGUGUUUUUCAGCUGCUGAAGUUUGAAAAUGAACGAUUUGCGUCAGUUCUUUUGACAGCGCGAGACGGCGCGGCUUCUCGUGCAAUGACACAACGAGCUCGCAAGAAACGAAUUUAUUCUUGUUUAAGACCUUUUAAAAAUAAAAUAUUACAGCGAUUGCACACAAUCCACCCAUUAGAACAAACCAAGAGCUAAAAGUGGGUGUUUUUCAGCUGUUGAAGUUUGAAAAUGAAGGAUUUGCGUCAGCUCUUUUGACAGCGCGAGACGGCGCGGCUUCUCCUGCUCUCGCACUACGAGCUCACAAGAAACGAAUUUAUUCUUGUUUAAGACCUUAUAAAAAUAAAAUAUUACAGCGAUUGCACACAAUCCACCCAUUAGAACAAACCAAGAGCUAAAAAGUGGGUGUUUUUUUCAGCUGUUGAAGUUUGAAAAUGAACGAUUUGCGUCAGCUCUUUUGACAGCGCGAGACGGCGCGGCUUCUCGUGCAAUGACACAACGAGCUCACAAGAAACGAAUUUAUUCUUGUUUAAGACCUUAUAAAAAUAAAAUAUUACAGCGAUUGCACACAAUCCACCCAUUAGAACAAACCAAGAGCUAAAAGUGGGUGUUUU